ACGCUAGCUACAGGCUUAACACAUGCAAGUCGAGGGGCAGCAUGGAAGAAGCUUGCUUCUUCUGAUGGCGACCGGCGCACGGGUGCGUAACGCGUAUCAAACCUGCCUCAUACUCGGGGAUAUCCUUGCGAAAGUAAGAUUAAUACCCGAUGUUGUUAUGUUACCGCAUGGUGAUAUAACCAAAGAUUUAUCGGUAUGAGAUGGUGAUGCGUCCGAUUAGGUAGUAGGCGGGGUAACGGCCCACCUAGCCUUCGAUCGGUAGGGGUUCUGAGAGGAAGGUCCCCCACACUGGAACUGAGACACGGUCCAGACUCCUACGGGAGGCAGCAGUGAGGAAUAUUGGUCAAUGGACGGAAGUCUGAACCAGCCAAGUAGCGUGCAGGAUGACGGCCCUCCGGGUUGUAAACUGCUUUUAGUUGGGAAUAAAAAAGAGGACGUGUCCUCUAUUGUAUGUACCUUCAGAAAAAGGACCGGCUAAUUCCGUGCCAGCAGCCGCGGUAAUACGGAAGGUCCAGGCGUUAUCCGGAUUUAUUGGGUUUAAAGGGAGCGUAGGCGGAUUAUUAAGUCAGUGGUGAAAGACGGUGGCUCAACCAUCGUUAGCCAUUGAAACUGGUAGUCUUGAGUGCAGACAGGGAUGCUGGAACUCGUGGUGUAGCGGUGAAAUGCUUAGAUAUCACGAUGAACUCCGAUCGCGAAGGCAGGUGUCCGGGCUGCAACUGACGCUGAGGCUCGAAAGUGUGGGUAUCAAACAGGAUUAGAUACCCUGGUAGUCCACACAGUAAACGAUGUAUACUCGCGGUUUGCGAUACAAUGUAAGCCGCCAAGCGAAAGCAUUAAGUAUACCACCUGGGGAGUACGCCGGCAACGGUGAAACUCAAAGGAAUUGACGGGGGCCCGCACAAGCGGAGGAACAUGUGGUUU
RNAcentral lists this ribosomal RNA (921 nucleotides) under uncultured bacterium. Its description in RNAcentral is "bacterial SSU rRNA". It matches the Rfam family "Bacterial small subunit ribosomal RNA", at positions 33 to 947 of the family's 1533-position model. The record is from RNAcentral.